CCUACGGGUGGCAGCAGUGGGGAAUAUUGCACAAUGGGGGAAACCCUGACCCAGCAAUGCCGCGUGAAGGAAGAAGGCUUUCGGGUUGUAAACUUCUUUGACAGGGGAAGAGCAGAAGACGGUACCCUGAAAACAAGCCACGGCUAACUACGUGCCAGCAGCCGCGGUAAUACGGAGGAUGCGAGCGUUAUCCGGAUUUAUUGGGUUUAAAGGGUGCGCAGGCGGAGGUGCAAGUCAGCGGUCAAAUUGCGGGGCUCAACCCCGUACUGCCGUUGAAACUGCAUCCCUUGAGUGCGCGAGAAGUAUGCGGAAUGCGUGGUGUAGCGGUGAAAUGCAUAGAUAUCACGCAGAACUCCGAUUGCGAAGGCAGCAUACCGGCGCGCAACUGACGCUCAUGCACGAAAGCGUGGGUAUCGAACAGGAUUAGAUACCCCAGUAGUC
RNAcentral lists this ribosomal RNA (441 nucleotides) under uncultured bacterium. Its description in RNAcentral is "partial 16S ribosomal RNA". It matches the Rfam family "Bacterial small subunit ribosomal RNA", at positions 338 to 795 of the family's 1533-position model. The record is from RNAcentral.